CAUCAGGGAGCAAUCAACCUGGGCUUUAAGAGGAGUGGAGAACCAGAGGGAGGCGUCAGCUCAUUGUCUCACAUAGUGUGGAAGAUGUUUUUUACUGGAGAUUCUAUGGAUUUUUUGUGCCUCUGGUUAAUUCAAGGAAAUUCAAGCCUCGACGUCUCGGCUGUGAGUCUCCACUCUGCCUCCUUCCUGGAUCCAGGUUUCUAGAGUUUUGGUUCACCUGCUUCUGCGAACCUUUCACCUGCCUGUCCACCCUCCCACGAUGAAUACCCCCUUUUAUGGAAAGUAUUGAAAAGAGAGAAACACUGAGUCUGAAGAACCUGAAAACACACAGUUCACCUCGGCUGUAUAUCUGCUGUAUGUUUUGCGUUGGAUGUCGACUGUAAGUGCACAGAGCUGUUUCCCACACAGCAGCUUUGCAGCCCACACGCCGACCUGGGUUCAGAGGUGCAGAAAUGAAGGACCGACUUUGGCUGAUCCAAUAGCUUGAAGGGCUGGGAGGAUGCCUCGGCCUCCACAGUCAGAGGCAUGUUAGAGCUACACGUUACAUAUUCCUAAAACUGAAAGCAUGGAGGAUUAGUUAAUGAACCAGCUACAGGCAACAGGAGAACUUUAAGCUGUAAAAGGUUUUAUUUGACGUUUAUUCUCUGGUGCUUCUUGGCCAUGGUUCUGUUUUGAUAGAUCUACUUUAUGUGUUUACGUUCUUCAAACUUUGAAACUGAAUCACAGAUCAAGGAUACAGACACUUCCAUAUGUAUAGUUGCUGGAGGGAGAAUCUCGGUUGUGAAUCUCCUUUUCUGCUUGCUCCCUGCAGACCAACCCACAUAUUAUAAUAUAUAAACACCCCUAUGUUCAUACUGUAUAAAUCAUGGCAUCACAUCCAGUCACACACCUCAUCCUCCCACUAAUCGCUCCAACUAAUUAUACUUUCUGUAAUUCUGCUGAUAUGAAUAUGUGAGGGGGUGGACAAGAGAGCAGCUGAGUUUCUCACUGCAGAAACUAACAAUGACAUUAAAACAAUACUCCAGCUUCUCCGAGCUUCUAGAAAUCUGAGCCAAUUGUCCACAUUUAAAUGCUGCACCAAAUUCUGAGCAAAAUGGCAGCACUUUAAGAGGCAGUAAAUCACAUAACCUCUGUGCGUUCAGGUCAAGCGAUCUGCAUGUGAUUGCUGUGGGCGUGAAAAGCCUGAAGGUGGCUUUAAAUAGACUAAAAAAAGAGAUAAAAUCAUAACUUUAAAUUUGAAGCCAGAGUGUUUUUCCCUGCAAUAAAAAAAACAUUGACCCGUUCAUCUUUAUGAAAUGUACUUUCAUUAUAGAUACACACCCAAGUAGCAAAACUGACCUGGCCCGGUUCUGGCCCAUACAAUGCAGUUUACACUCGGCCCACGUACCCCAAAUAAAGAUGGCUCUAUGGGCAGAAAAUAGUGGUGGCCCUGUUCUGGUCCAGAACAGUUUCAGUACUGCCACCAAAUGUAUACCCUAACCAAGCCAUGUAAUAAUGACAUGGGUCAUAUUCAGCUGAGAUUAAACAUGCCUCAACAACA
Long non-coding RNA from Girardinichthys multiradiatus, 1540 nucleotides. RefSeq lists it as uncharacterized. Lineage: Eukaryota; Metazoa; Chordata; Actinopteri; Cyprinodontiformes; Goodeidae. The record is from RefSeq and is a predicted model, not a curated record. The transcript has 2 exons.